GGAGGAAUGGCAGAGCGGUCGAUUGCGGCGGUCUUGAAAACCGUUGAUGCGAGAGCAUCCUGGGGUUCGAAUCCCUAUUCCUCCGCCA
RNAcentral lists this transfer RNA (88 nucleotides) under Bacillota bacterium. RNAcentral describes it as "tRNA-Ser". It matches the Rfam family "tRNA". Rfam says of the family: Transfer RNA (tRNA) molecules are approximately 80 nucleotides in length. Their secondary structure includes four short double-helical elements and three loops (D, anti-codon, and T loops). RNAcentral also lists the same sequence under 3 other names. The record is from RNAcentral. Lineage: Bacteria; Bacillati; Bacillota.